UACGUAGGUGGCAAGCGUUGUCCGGAUUUACUGGGCGUAAAGAGCGCGCAGGCGGUCGUUCAAGUCGCGUGUGAAAGCCCCCGGCUCAACUGGGGAGGGUCACGCGAUACUGAUCGACUCGAAGGCAGGAGAGGGUAGUGGAAUUCCCGGUGGAGCGGUGAAAUGCGUAGAGAUCGGAAAGAACACCAACGGCGAAAGCACUCUGCUGGGCCGACACUGACACUGAGAGACGAAAGCUAGGGGAGCGAAUGGG
This 253-nucleotide ribosomal RNA is filed under the name uncultured bacterium. RNAcentral's name for it is "partial 16S ribosomal RNA". It matches the Rfam family "Bacterial small subunit ribosomal RNA", at positions 524 to 776 of the family's 1533-position model. The record is from RNAcentral.